UGAUGCAGCCAUGCCGCGUGUGUGAAGAAGGCCGUUCGGGUUGUAAAGCACUUUCAGGUAGGGAGGAAGGUAGUGUAGUUAACACCUGCAUUAUUUGACGUUACCUACAGAAGAAGCACCGGCUAACUCCGUGCCAGCAGCCGACGGUAAUACGGGAGGGUGCGAGCGUUAAUCGGAAUUACUGGGCGUAAAGCGCAUGCAGGCGGCCUGUUAAGUCAGAUGUGAAAGCCCGGGGCUUAACCUCGGAAUUGCAUUUGAAACUGGCAGGCUAGAGUCUUGUAGAGGGGGGUAGGAAUUUCAGGUGUAGCGGUGAAAUGCGUAGAGAUCUGAAGGAAUACCAGUGGCGAAGGCGGCCCCCUGGACAAAGACUGACGCUCAGAUGCGAAAGCGUGGGGAGCAAACAGGAUUGAUACCCUGGUAG
This 421-nucleotide ribosomal RNA is filed under the name uncultured bacterium. RNAcentral describes it as "bacterial SSU rRNA". It matches the Rfam family "Bacterial small subunit ribosomal RNA", at positions 384 to 793 of the family's 1533-position model. The record is from RNAcentral.